AAGAAUGUAACUAAUGAUGAAGUUCAGAAUGAACAAGAGGCUUCUGUUAAUCCACCAGUGCUUGUAGUGCAGGUAGUUCAGGAUUCAAACAUGGUUAAUGAGGGUCAAGCAACUAGUCCCUUGCAACAAAAUGAACUUAUGAAUCCAGAAGGGCAAUUAAGUGAAGUAACUAUUGCUAUCACCAGUAAUAGUGAACAGGUGGUUGACACUGGUAAUAGAGGGAAAGCUAUCAUAAAUGAUAUGGAUAGCAGGG
RNAcentral lists this long non-coding RNA (253 nucleotides) under Nicotiana benthamiana. Its description in RNAcentral is "long non-coding RNA (NBEN_LNC029552)". The record is from RNAcentral. Lineage: Eukaryota; Viridiplantae; Streptophyta; Magnoliopsida; Solanales; Solanaceae.